UAACAGAAGUCAUGUUCCCUAAAAUCUUACAAGGAAAAGAAGACAGAAGGCACCUGAAUAUGAAGCCUGUGUAGGAUUCCCUUCUAAACUGAUGGAUGUUCAAAGGAAACAACCUGACUGGUGCCGUAGAGGAAGAAUAACUCUGCUGUCAUGCAUUUAUGCACAAUAACAAGGAAGAGCCAACAAAGGUGUUUUGAGGGACUGAGGCACUUAGUGAGAUGGUCUGAACAAACUGAAAUGAGGAAUUAGGAGUCAAACUCCGAAGCCAGAGUUCAGGAGCCAGAGCCAAGGGCAGGAGGAAGAGCUGUCCUGUCCACCGCUGUGUUGGAGAUGUAGAUCACACAAGGAAAUCUGCAGGAAAGGCCUAAGCAGGCUCUUCCACCCUAUCCUCCAUCCCUGGAUGCUAUGGAGCUGUGCUAUGAAUAAGGCUUUUUGAGCUGUGUUGAAUGCUUUUGUUUAAUGAACUUGAAUAAAAUAUGAGGUUGUGUUUGCUCUAGUCUGAGCAUGAGCAGAAGUACAAGGGAACUGUGUGGUAGUGUGUUAUGUUUGGAAAGCUUCACUACUUCCUCACACGGUCCCCAGCUCCUCUGAAGACAGAUUCAGUUGUUCUCUUCAGUUAUGAAAAAUACUUUAAAUCUACUUUGGACUCCACCAGCCCUCUGUUGCUGUUUUCAGGAGUCUUCUCUUGGGCAUUGACUUGGAAGAUGGGAAAAGGAGAAAUCAGAACUUGUGAAUUACAUCUGCAAAAACAAUGUUGAAGACUGUCUGAAAACUGAC
Molecule: long non-coding RNA, 777 nt
Organism: Gallus gallus (chicken)
Lineage: Eukaryota; Metazoa; Chordata; Aves; Galliformes; Phasianidae
Source: Ensembl